AAGAGCCGGAUGCGGUAAGUUCCGCAAGUCCGGUUCUGUGAGGGAUGCGUAAUGGAAGUUACGCAUCUACUCGAU
This 75-nucleotide non-coding RNA is filed under the name Candidatus Rhabdochlamydia oedothoracis. The record is from RNAcentral. Lineage: Bacteria; Pseudomonadati; Chlamydiota; Chlamydiia; Parachlamydiales; Candidatus Rhabdochlamydiaceae.